UUGUGGAGAUGCUCGUGGGGUCCACCGU
RNAcentral lists this small RNA (28 nucleotides) under Bombyx mori (domestic silkworm). RNAcentral describes it as "ovarian small RNA-639". The record is from RNAcentral. Lineage: Eukaryota; Metazoa; Arthropoda; Insecta; Lepidoptera; Bombycidae.